UUUUUGUGUGGGUUUUUACAUUCAGAGAAAGUUACAGUGGAUCGUGUUUUUGGAGGAGGUGAAGUCCAGUCUAAAAGAGUCCCCUCAAGUAUCAUCACCAUGGUACAGUGUCUGUGAAGAUAGUGAAGCAGACCCAGCAUUCACAAAAAAGAGAGGUCCCAUAAGGAGAAGACCCUGGAGCAAACAGGAAGUACAUGCUGUGGUGAAAGCUGAACUAUUAGUUCUAAAAACCAGAGAUUGGUCAGAUUUGGAUUUUUAUAUUAAAAACUGAAUCUUGUCUCUUUAAAGAGAAAUCUGGGUAACACUUUUAUAGUAACUACACACUGUAAAUCAUUUGUU
Long non-coding RNA from Danio aesculapii, 339 nucleotides. RefSeq lists it as uncharacterized. NCBI's taxonomy places the organism in Eukaryota, Metazoa, Chordata, Actinopteri, Cypriniformes, Danionidae. The transcript has 3 exons. The record is from RefSeq and is a predicted model, not a curated record.